Molecule: non-coding RNA, 29 nt
Filed under: Mus musculus (house mouse)
Lineage: Eukaryota; Metazoa; Chordata; Mammalia; Rodentia; Muridae
Source: RNAcentral
UUGGCUUGAAACGAGACUUAAGAGGCUUC